Molecule: ribosomal RNA, 793 nt
Filed under: uncultured bacterium
Lineage: Bacteria
Description: bacterial SSU rRNA
Rfam family: Bacterial small subunit ribosomal RNA
Source: RNAcentral
UGCAGUCGAGGGGUAUUGUUCUUCGGAAUGAGAGACCGGCGCACGAGUGCGUAACGCGUAUGCAAUCUACCUUUCACAGAGGGAUAGCCCAGAGAAAUUUGGAUUAAUACCUCAUAGCAUAAUGAGUUGGCAUCAACACAUUAUUAAAGUCACAACGGUGAAAGAUGAGCAUGCGUCCCAUUAGCUAGUUGGUAAGGUAACGGCUUACCAAGGCUACGAUGGGUAGGGGUCCUGAGAGGGAGAUCCCCCACACUGGUACUGAGACACGGACCAGACUCCUACGGGAGGCAGCAGUGAGGAAUAUUGGUCAAUGGGCGCAAGCCUGAACCAGCCAUGCCGCGUGCAGGAUGACGGUCCUAUGGAUUGUAAACUGCUUUUGUACGGGAAGAAACACUCCGACGUGUCGGAGCUUGACGGUACCGUAAGAAUAAGGAUCGGCUAACUCCGUGCCAGCAGCCGCGGUAAUACGGAGGAUCCAAGCGUUAUCCGGAAUCAUUGGGUUUAAAGGGUCCGUAGGCGGUUUAGUAAGUCAGUGGUGAAAGCCCAUCGCUCAACGGUGGAACGGCCAUUGAUACUGCUAGACUUGAAUUAUUGGGAAGUAACUAGAAUAUGUAGUGUAGCGGUGAAAUGCUUAGAGAUUACAUGGAAUACCAAUUGCGAAGGCAGGUUACUACCAAUGGAUUGACGCUGAUGGACGAAAGCGUGGGUAGCGAACAGGAUUAGAUACCCUGGUAGUCCACGCCGUAAACGAUGGAUACUAGCUGUUGGGAGCAAUCUCAGUGGCUAAGCGAAA